GUAUAGCUCAGUGAUAGAGCGCUUGCCUAGCAUGAAAGAGGCCCUAGGUUUAAUCCCCAGUAC
RNAcentral lists this transfer RNA (63 nucleotides) under Heterocephalus glaber (naked mole-rat). It matches the Rfam family "tRNA", at positions 5 to 66 of the family's 71-position model. Rfam says of the family: Transfer RNA (tRNA) molecules are approximately 80 nucleotides in length. The record is from Rfam by way of RNAcentral. Lineage: Eukaryota; Metazoa; Chordata; Mammalia; Rodentia; Bathyergidae.